GUUUUAACAGAUAUUUUCUGAGUAUUGUAGCUAACAAAAAGCUAGCGCUUUAGUGCAAGGCUAACUCAUAUGUUGAAUAGAAAGUUUGUGCGGACAGAUGAUGCUAUGAAAGAUUCUGAAGAGACUGCAACAGCCUUCAAUACAGACACACACACAGUCAGCUUUACCGUAUCCCUCGUGCGGCUACGCCUCGAGGCAUAACUAAUGUAGCUACUAUACUGUGUAUGUGCAUGAUGCUAGUAGGCGGGGCAUAACGAGGAUGGAAUAUGACGACACAUAAAUUCAGUGUGCGUUUCCUAUCAUAUAAAAAGACAGACAGACACACAGUCAGCUUUACCGUAUCCCUCGUGCGGCUACGCCUCGAGACAUAAUAAAUAGCAAAAUACAAUCAUGUACAGCGCAUACGCAGAAAGGUCAAAAGGUCAUUUCAGCAGUCCAUUCUAGUCCAGUCCACUGACUACAGAAAGCCGGCUGCUAUAUAUGCAGUAUCUAACCAAAGAGUUGAAUACGUGCACCACGUGGAUUUUGGGCUGCAAAUUAAAACGGGCCCGUAAUUACAGGCAUGAAAUGCUUUGUGAUUAUUUUGGCUGGUAUAUUGAUUCUCUGUUGCUAAGGACUUACAUGUACUUCACAUGACUUCCUGUGUUCCGGCCAUGAAUCUAAUUAACGAGGUGCCUAAUAUUUGACUACACAGCUAAGCUGACUUGAAAGCUUGUGAGAAUGGAGUGCUAUCUUGUUCCUGAUCCAUAUCUUCCAACUAUCAACACAACCCUGCCAGAUGUCUUCAUUGCUCAAGCAGUAGUUCUCUCAGUGGUGUUUCCACUGAGCUUUGUUGGGACGGUGUUGAAUAUUGUGUUUAUCUGUCGAAGGAAGACUAACUUUCUAGUAAGAAGGAUAGUCUACAUGACUGUCGUCACUACACUGCAGCUUGGAGUAUUAUGGCUUUGGAGCAUUCCUGCAUUCAAACCAGAUAAGUCAAUGUUCAACUUUUGUUACGAAGUUGAACGUGUGUACACCAGUGUGGCAAAUAUAGGUGUAAAUUGGACCAUGACUAUACUGGUCUGCUCUAUCUACUUUACCCUAGUAACAAAACUGUGUGGUUGUUUCUCAAGAUGGCGUCCUUGGAGUGAUCGAUCGCGUUUGCUAUUGGAAUUUAUAUUUGUCAUGAUAGCAUUGCUUGUUGGGUUGGUGUUUAGUGUGCUGGGAUAUUUCUAUAUACACUUAAUCGGCUUCAAUUUGUACCUUCUAAUUAGUAUAUCCAUACCACCUGCACUAGUACUAAUAAGCUUCAUAGGAAAUGUUGUUUUAACUAUAUGGUUUUGUACUCUAUGGAGAAGGCAAAUUGCAAGGAGAAGAGAUGUACUGAAAGAAAUAGGAAUAUUCUUUGCUCUGUUUUUAUUUACUCUGUUUGUGUUUGGAUUGGAUACUCGUUUAGAGUUUCAUUUUCCUACGCUUGCACAGAUAGUACUAUCUUCUCCUCUAUCGUGUUUCCCAUUGCUAGUUUUUGGCUACAUGUGCUACAGUUUUCGUAGCAGAACGAGACAUGAGAGGUUUGCCAAUAGAGCAGAUAUCGAGACGGCUGGUCCAGGACUACGAACUGCUCCACCCUCCACUAGAGUCAGCCUACCUACGGACACAGCCGAUCAUGCUCCCAACUUCCUGAGCCCAAGCACAGCUGAGCCUUCAGAAGUGACACCAUUGAUAAACUAAUUAGUGACAUAAUUAUGAUUGAUUUAGCUAAAAACACAUUCUAACUGUAGAAUACACCUAUAGGGCUGCUUGUAUAUAUAUAAUUUAUGUAAUUUUUAGUGUGCUGUAGUUUUUAUUUUCACCAUGUUGUAUGCUUUCUUAAAUUCUACACGUGCUAAGACAGUUGCUGAAUCCUGUGUGUUUACUGGCUCACUUGAACCACUGAUGAGUAUCUGGAUGACGUUGGCUCGCUCCCCCCAAAUGAAUAUGAAUGGGGCCCAUUAGCUGGGUGUGGCCUGGCCAACCGUUCUGACAGGUGGCCAGGGAACAUGCCAAUGCAAAGCUGGUCUUGAGGCGUGUAUCUCUGCUUCUGAGCAAAAUUAGCUUAAGCUUACAGAAAUUAAAAACCAGGCUAGAAUUCUAAGUAGUCUGCAAGUAGUCUGCAAAAGAGAAAUCCAACUAGUGACCUUAAUUGUAGCUAAGGUCAAGUGGUUCCUCCAGGUGCAGCCCAAUCAGACAAAGAUAAGGAUAUUCAUGACUCAAACAUCGAUAUUUAUAACCAGAUGUGUAGUAUACCCCACUUGGGGUUGGUAUCAUAUCAACUGGGUGGGGUACCAUAAUUUCUUAAUACAAGAGACUCAGGUAGUUAAGUUGGUCAAUUCAUUUUUUCUGCAAAAAAAGUCUUAAACUAUUGUAGAUAUUCUCAGGCUAGGGGACUCAUUCUAUAACUAGAGCACUGAAGUGCUAACCCUCGGCUGUAGACCAGAGGAGCACGUGUAGAGCUAAGGCAAUGUGCAAGUUUAGAUCUUAAGGUUUUGUCGUUUUUAUAUUACAACAAAGCUUUAACAUCGAAAUCUUCCAUUUUUAAAAACUAAUAACUUGUUGUCUAUCCAUGCUGUAAACGCAGUGCUAUGGCAUCCAGGUGAGUAGACUCACAUGUCACACACAAAAACAAACAAACCAACCGACUACUAUACCCGUGGCAACCCAUGCGUGCCUCGGGUAACAAAAGCUUAAAAUAACAAUACAACAAAACAACAGUCAUCGAAUUGGAGCAUUCCUGCAUUCAAACGAGACGAGUAAAUGUACGACUUUUGUUACGAAGUUGAAUAUGUGUGUGUCAGUGUGACAAAUAUAGGUGUAAUGUGGAUUAUGGCUCUACUGGUCUGCUCUAUCUACUUCACCCUUUUGUACUGCACAAAGGUCAAAAUGUCCCUCCAGUAGUCCAGUCCACUGAUUACAAAGCCGGCUGCUAUGCAGUAUCUAACGAAUAUACCAUGAAUGUGGAUUUUGGGCUGUAAAACGGGCCGUAACAAGCAUGAAACGCGCUGUGCAGUAUUGGCUGCAUGUGUACACAGCCAAAAAUCCACAGGCCUGUUUCAGGCCCGUGGGGAAAAUCAGUUGAAUACAGGCCGGAAUACGGGCCUGUAUGCGGAUGUAAUCGCCCACGGCCCGCUUACAUCCUGGAACCACAGGCCUGUUACAGCACGUACAUCCUGUCCUGAAUACGGACUGUAAAUAACGGGCCUGUUUCAGCCUGUACCACCCACGUCCUGCUUACAGCCUGUGCAGCCAGUGUAUGCGCAUGCGCAGAGAGAAAGUUGCUUAGCUACGAAAUCCACCAAGAGACUGAAAAGGUGCUUCAGUUUGAUGUUCUCGUUCAGUUGCAGCUUUAAAGGAUGGAUGGAGUAAUUAUAUUAUUUAUGGAGCUGACUGCCAAGGCCAGCUAGCAAGAAAAGAGAGAGAGAGGAACUGCUAGAUGUCUCUGCAAUUCUUCUUUCACUGUCUCUAGGAGUCUAGCUCUAUAGGCUACAAGAUCUGGUUGCCUCUGACGCAGGUUGUUGACUUCUUCUACAACGUUUAAUAUAAGAAUACACAUCUAAAAAGGACCUCUACAACGACUACUAUAUAAAUGUACCUGUGUCUAUGUCAUCAUUACUGUACUGAUUGAGCUCGAGAUUGAGGUUCCUUGUCACACUACUUGAGAAUAUGUACAUAUAUAAAUUGGAAUGCUCAUGCCAUCAAUGAUUUCAACCCAUCAUGACCCCAGAAGCAUCGUGGACACACCUAUACUUUAGGAACUAUCAGAAUUUGGCAGUUAAGUUACUGGCUGUGGACAUGGCUGGUCUGUGACAGUACAAACAGUCAAACAAAAAAUGUAUAAUGUGACAGAGGACAUGGCUGGUCUGUGGACAGUACGAACAGUCGAACAACACAUUAUAUUGUGACAGAGGACAUGGCUGGUCUGUGGACAGUACGAAAAGUCGAACAACACAUUAUAUUGUGACAGAGGACAUGGCUGGUCUGUGGACAGUACGAACAGUCGAACAACACAUUAUAUUGUGUGACAGAGGACAUGGCUGGUAGUACAAACAGUCAAACAGAAAAUUUAUAAAUUGACACACUCGAGCAGCACAAGCACUAGAAGAAACAUUUCUAUUAGUGUUGUAAACUGUCGAACUGUCUGGCUAUGUUUGUUUCUUAAAAAUUUUAACACUUCGUUGAAUUAUUCAUGCCAAA
Molecule: long non-coding RNA, 4209 nt
Organism: Halichondria panicea
Lineage: Eukaryota; Metazoa; Porifera; Demospongiae; Suberitida; Halichondriidae
Exons: 14
Source: RefSeq, a predicted model, not a curated record